UACGAAGGGGGCAAGCGUUGUUCGGAAUUACUGGGCGUAAAGGGUGCGUAGGCGGCUUUUUAAGUCAGUGGUGGAAUCCUGCAGCUUAACUGUAGAACAGCCAUUGAUACUGAAGAGCUUGAGUACAGACGAGGUAGGCGGAAUUUAUGGUGUAGCGGUGAAAUGCAUAGAUACCAUAAAGAACCCCUAUUGCGAAGGCAGCUUACUAGGCUGUAACUGACGCUGAGGCACGAAAGCGUGGGGAUCAAACAGGAUUAGAUACCCGAGUAGU
This 271-nucleotide ribosomal RNA is filed under the name uncultured bacterium. RNAcentral's name for it is "partial 16S ribosomal RNA". It matches the Rfam family "Bacterial small subunit ribosomal RNA", at positions 524 to 794 of the family's 1533-position model. The record is from RNAcentral.